Molecule: ribosomal RNA, 112 nt
Filed under: Bacteroidetes bacterium QS_8_64_10
Lineage: Bacteria; Pseudomonadati; Bacteroidota
Source: RNAcentral
GACGGUGACUCAAGCGCGGGGGCCACACCUCUUCCCAUCCCGAACAGAGAAGUAAAGUCCCGCAGCGCCGAUGGUACUGCCUUCGAGGCGGAAGAGUAGGUCGUUGCCGUUU